This 297-nucleotide long non-coding RNA is filed under the name Elaeis guineensis (African oil palm). Its description in RNAcentral is "long non-coding RNA (EGUI_LNC042246)". Lineage: Eukaryota; Viridiplantae; Streptophyta; Magnoliopsida; Arecales; Arecaceae. The record is from RNAcentral.
GAUCUCAGAUCUUUGGUGAAAGGGAGAGAGGAGGGAUCUCCUCCUUAAAUAGAGCCGGAGGGAGCUCUUUUCCGACUCCGAUUGGGAGCCGGCGAGAGGAGGAAGAAGACUCCCUUCGGGAGUUCUUCUCCUCUGUUUUUCCUUUUUUUUUUUUUGGGCUUUGGUGGGCUGGGAUUCUUACUCGGGCCAGGCCAUCACACACAGAGCAUUCAAACGGCAUUUUCAGAUUUCUAUGCUUAGUUUUUAAGUUCUAAAGAAGAGAGAACAAUCAAAGCAAAAUGGGAGGCAUUGUAUCUA